GCUCAGUAACACGUGGAUAACUUACCCUUAGGACCGGGAUAACCUUGGGAAACUGAGGACAAUACUGGAUAGGCAAUUUUUCCUGUAAUGGUUUUUUGUUUAAAUGUUUUUUCGCCUAAGGAUGGGUCUGCGGCCGAUUAGGUAGUUGGUUAGGUAAUGGCUUACCAAGCCGUUGAUCGGUACGGGUUGUGAGAGCAAGAGCCCGGAGAUGGAACCUGAGACAAGGUUCCAGGCCCUACGGGGUGCAGCAGGCGCGAAACCUCCGCAAUGUGAGAAAUCGCGACGGGGGGAUCCCAAGUGCCAUUCUUAACGGGAUGGCUUUUCAUUAGUGUAAAGAGCUUUUGGAAUAAGAGCUGGGCAAGACCGGUGCCAGCCGCCGCGGUAACACCGGCAGCUCUAGUGGUAGCAAUUUUUAUUGGGCCUAAAGCGUCCGUAGCCGGUUUAAUAAGUCUCUGGUGAAAUCUUGUAGCUUAACUGUGAGAAUUGCUGGAGAUACUAUCAGACUUGAAGUCGGGAGAGGUUAGAGGUACUACCGGGGUAGGGGUGAAAUCCUAUAAUCCUGGGAGGACCACCUGUGGCGAAGGCGUCUAACUGGAACGAUCUUGACGGUGAGUAACGAAAGCCAGGGGCGCGAACCGGAUUAGAUACCCGGGUAGUCCUGGCCGUAAACGAUGUGGACUUGGUGUUGGAAUGGCUUUGAGUUGUUCCGUGCCGAAGGGAAGCUGUUAAGUCCACCGCCUGGGAAGUACGGUCGCAAGACUGAAACUAAAGGAUUUGGCGGGGGGAGCAC
RNAcentral lists this ribosomal RNA (790 nucleotides) under uncultured Methanobacteriaceae archaeon. RNAcentral's name for it is "bacterial SSU rRNA". It matches the Rfam family "Archaeal small subunit ribosomal RNA", at positions 88 to 879 of the family's 1478-position model. Lineage: Archaea; Methanobacteriati; Methanobacteriota; Methanobacteria; Methanobacteriales; Methanobacteriaceae. The record is from RNAcentral.